This is a long non-coding RNA of Dicentrarchus labrax (European seabass), 1831 nucleotides long. The record is from Ensembl. Lineage: Eukaryota; Metazoa; Chordata; Actinopteri; Moronidae.
AUGGCAACUGUUGUGACUGUAUGGCAUGCGCUGCAACCGUUGGCACCAAGGCUCUCCAGUUCAACCAUUUUCAACCUUUCCCACACCCUGCUGCAGAUUUAUGCACUGUCACACCUGGCAGCUGCCAAGCACUCCGGUAAUCUUUUACGCUUGGCUACUAAACGCACAUCAGAAGCAGUCUGGACUUCAGAAUCGUGCUCAGGGCGAUCUUGGUGGGCCUACUCCAGAGUGAGAGGAAGCUGUACUGCUACAGAGGAACACAGAGGCCCCACUCCAGACCAGAAAGGCUUUUUUCUGGGGACCCUGUUGAAAGCAGUCAUUUUCCAGAGCCCUGGGUUAACCUUGGGCUACAAUGAAGCUCUUUCCGGCUCCAGAUAAAUGCACACCCAUAAGAGGAGCCCUCCCACCAUUAAACGGGUUCCUGCUCUCUUCUCUGUCCCCCCUCUUUUUUCCUCCUCCUCACUCCUUCACGUCCCUGUUUUUCCUCGAGGGUCAGAUCAGCACAGUGCUUUCAGGAAUUCAAGGAACCGGAUAGAGCCUGGACAUGCAGGUGCAAGAGCUUUGGUUCCAGCAACUGUAUGGUACAAGAGGAGGUGGGUAAUAAGGUGCCAAGAGGCGGAAUGCAGGAAGGGAAUGACGGAAGAAGACAAAGACAAAGCAUAGGCCAGAUCGUGUAUGUUUGGGAGUCAGUAACCCUAACUUUGUUACAUCAUGGGAUAAUAUAAUUUGCUAAAAACCAUGUCUGUUUUUUAAUCGAGUGCUUUACACACCAAUCUUGCAUCUCACCCAAUCUUCCUGACAGUUUUGUCCCAAAUUAAGAGAUAAGACGCCACACAGCUAAUCUACAUAAUGCAAUCAAAUCUCAACUCAAAGUCCACUUACUGACUUUUUCUGGAGCUUUUAUCAAUAUGUCACAGCCUUCCUCGGUGGAUAGAAGUCAUCAUUAUCUACUAUAAAGCUCUGUAUUUUAUUUUUUAUUUUGACUUAACUAUAUAGUCUAUCAAACAUAUAGUAUUGGUAGACAAAAUGUGAAAAAAAGGAAAUAAUAACAACAAUAAUACAUGUAUCCUAAUUUUAAAUCACAUCGUAGAACUUCUGUUCGUUCCCUGUGCCUUCAUGCUAACAUGACGCGUUGGAUUUGUAGUCAAUCUUAUGUUACUGUAAGACAGUUGUGUUUUACAAAGUUGGCAGGGAGCUUUACUUUAAUACAUGAGUUAACUUGAAUUUCCCUCGGGAUAAAUAAAGUAUCUAUCCAUCUAACUAUUUGGUACACAUUUCAAAAUGAUUCCUCGCAUUACUUCUAAGAUGAAUUAGUGUAAGCAUUAUUUGUAAGCACAGCUCGUUAUAAAGUUUACUCAAGUUUUGCGUUAUGAAAGAGGACAAAAGUAGCAGAGUUUACAACAGGCAUGCAACAGGUCAGACUAACUGAAUUUUAAGAAUGCCUGCUGACACUGUAAUUGUUUUUAAUUAAGGCAAAUCUUUAAAGAUCAGAUAUUACAUUUUUUCCUGCUUUUGAAUAACAGUGUGAAUAUCUAUCACAAAGUCCAAUAUGUACAAGCAUGUACAAAAAGACAUCAUUGCAGAGGAUUGUGGUUUCAUAGUCUGAGGCAACCAGCAGCCUACAGCAAGGCUACAGUCUACACUGUAAAAGCAGUAUGGUGGAAAAUAGAGGAAAAAGGUCAUGAAGGACAAAAGAAGAAUAGGGGGACAAAGGGAGGAGGAAGAGGAGGGAAAGCCUGCUAGGGCUAAUUAGAGCGAUAAUAGGGGGCCAAAGCACGCAGAGGCAACUGGAAGGGGUCGACGUGAUGAGGAGAGUGGUAGAUGGAGAAGA